RNAcentral lists this ribosomal RNA (305 nucleotides) under uncultured bacterium. Its description in RNAcentral is "bacterial SSU rRNA". It matches the Rfam family "Bacterial small subunit ribosomal RNA", at positions 333 to 630 of the family's 1533-position model. The record is from RNAcentral.
UGAUCCCUACGGGACGCAGCAGUAGGGAAUCUUCCACAAUGGGCGAAAGCCUGAUGGAGCAACGCCGCGUGAGUGAAGAAGGUUUUCGGAUCGUAAAGCUCUGUUGUUGGUGAAGAAGGAUAGAGGUAGUAACUGUCCCCUAUUUGACGGUAAUCAACCAGAAAGUCACGGCUAACUACGUGCCAGCAGCCGCGGAAAUACGUAGGUGGCAAGCGUUGUCCGGAUUUAUUGGGCGUAAAGCGAGCGCAGGCGGAAAGAUAAGUCUGAUGUGAAAGCCCCCGGCUUAGCCGAGGAAUUGCAUCGGA